GAUGAACGCUAGCGGCAGGCUUAACACAUACAAGUCGAGGGGUAUUUAUCUUCGGAUAGAGAGACCGGCGCACGGGUGCGUAACGCGUAUGCAAUCUACCUUUUACAGAGGGAUAGCCCAGAGAAAUUUGGAUUAAUACCUCAUAGUAUGUAGACUCGGCAUCGAGAUUAUAUUAAAGUCACAACGGUAAAAGAUGAGCAUGCGUCCCAUUAGCUAGUUGGUAAGGUAACGGCUUACCAAGGCUACGAUGGGUAGGGGUCCUGAGAGGGAGAUCCCCCACACUGGUACUGAGACACGGACCAGACUCCUACGGGAGGCAGCAGUGAGGAAUAUUGGACAAUGGGCGCAAGCCUGAUCCAGCCAUGCCGCGUGCAGGAUGACGGUCCUAUGGAUUGUAAACUGCUUUUAUACGAGAAGAAACACUGCUACGUGUAGCAGCUUGACGGUAUCGUAAGAAUAAGGAUCGGCUAAUUCCGUG
This 478-nucleotide ribosomal RNA is filed under the name uncultured bacterium. Its description in RNAcentral is "partial 16S ribosomal RNA". It matches the Rfam family "Bacterial small subunit ribosomal RNA", at positions 28 to 507 of the family's 1533-position model. The record is from RNAcentral.